This 70-nucleotide transfer RNA is filed under the name Lasiognathus sp. NMMBP 9030. RNAcentral's name for it is "tRNA-Gly". It matches the Rfam family "tRNA". From Rfam's summary of the family: Transfer RNA (tRNA) molecules are approximately 80 nucleotides in length. Lineage: Eukaryota; Metazoa; Chordata; Actinopteri; Lophiiformes; Thaumatichthyidae. The record is from RNAcentral.
AUCUUUCUAGUACAACUUAGUAUACGUGACUUCCAAUCACCCGGCCUUGGUUAAAAUCCAAGGAGAGAUA